Long non-coding RNA from Pistacia vera, 244 nucleotides. RefSeq lists it as uncharacterized. The transcript is spliced from 2 exons. The record is from RefSeq and is a predicted model, not a curated record. NCBI's taxonomy places the organism in Eukaryota, Viridiplantae, Streptophyta, Magnoliopsida, Sapindales, Anacardiaceae.
UGCACUUGUGAAAUAAGCUUUUGUUGGUGCUAAGAUUGCGCAGCUCUUUCCAGCUCAGACAACAUUGUAGUUAAGGUGUUGUCAAGUUAGUACCGUAGGCUAAAAAAUGCUGGGAUCCCACACAUAUUUCUUUUAUUUUGAAUUUUUUUAUUUUGCCUUCAGAUAGACCAAAUCGACCAUUAACAUUGAUGUAUAUAUUGAACUCUUGAAGAAAAUUUUCAGGCUGUUUUGCUCUCAUGAUUUA